Molecule: ribosomal RNA, 465 nt
Filed under: uncultured Klebsiella sp.
Lineage: Bacteria; Pseudomonadati; Pseudomonadota; Gammaproteobacteria; Enterobacterales; Enterobacteriaceae
Description: bacterial SSU rRNA
Rfam family: Bacterial small subunit ribosomal RNA
Source: RNAcentral
CCUACGGGUGGCAGCAGUGGGGAAUAUUGCACAAUGGGCGCAAGCCUGAUGCAGCCAUGCCGCGUGUGUGAAGAAGGCCUUCGGGUUAUAAAGCACUUUCAGCGGGGAGGAAGGCGGUGAGGUUAAUAACCUCAUCGAUUGACGUUACCCGCAGAAGAAGCACCGGCUAACUCCGUGCCAGCAGCCGCGGUAAUACGGAGGGUGCAAGCGUGAAUCGGAAUUACUGGGCGUAAAGCGCACGCAGGCGGUCUGUCAAGUCGGAUGUGAAAUCCCCGGGCUCAACCUGGGAACUGCAUUCGAAACUGGCAGGCUAGAGUCUUGUAGAGGGGGGUAGAAUUCCAGGUGUAGCGGUGAAAGGCGUAGAGAUCUGGAGGAAUACCGGUGGCGAAGGCGGCCCCCUGGACAAAGACUGACGCUCAGGUGCGAAAGCGUGGGGAGCAAACAGGAUUAGAUACCCUUGUAGUC